UACGGAGGGUGCAAGCGUUGUUCGGAAUCAUUGGGCGUAAAGGGCGCGUAGGCGGGUCGUUAAGUCCGACGUGAAAUCCCUCGGCUCAACUGAGGAAGUGCAUCGGAUACUGGCGGUCUUGAGUCCUGGAGAGGGUAGCGGAAUUCCCAGUGUAGAGGUGAAAUUCGUAGAUAUUGGGAGGAACACCGGUGGCGAAGGCGGCUACCUGGACAGUGACUGACGCUGAGGCGCGAAAGCAUGGGUAGCAAAC
RNAcentral lists this ribosomal RNA (250 nucleotides) under uncultured bacterium. Its description in RNAcentral is "partial 16S ribosomal RNA". It matches the Rfam family "Bacterial small subunit ribosomal RNA", at positions 524 to 773 of the family's 1533-position model. The record is from RNAcentral.